UACGUAGGGGCUAGCAUUAUCCGGAAUUACUGGGCGUAAAGGGUGCGUAGGUGGUUUCUUAAGUCAGAGGUGAAAGGCUACGGCUCAACCGUAGUAAGCUUUUGGAACUGUAAGACUUGAGUGCAGGAGAGGAGAGUGGAAUUCCUAGUGUAGCGGUGAAAUGCGUAGAUAUUAGGAGGAACACCAGUAGCGAAGGCGGCUCUCUGGACUGUAACUGACGCUGAGGCACGAAAGCGUGGGGAGCAAACAGGAUUAGAUACCCUGGUAGUCCCU
This 273-nucleotide ribosomal RNA is filed under the name uncultured prokaryote. Its description in RNAcentral is "partial 16S ribosomal RNA". It matches the Rfam family "Bacterial small subunit ribosomal RNA", at positions 524 to 798 of the family's 1533-position model. The record is from RNAcentral.